Molecule: ribosomal RNA, 824 nt
Filed under: Staphylococcus aureus
Lineage: Bacteria; Bacillati; Bacillota; Bacilli; Caryophanales; Staphylococcaceae
Description: bacterial SSU rRNA
Rfam family: Bacterial small subunit ribosomal RNA
Source: RNAcentral
GAUGAACGCUGGCGGCGUGCCUAAUACAUGCAAGUCGAGCGAACGGACGAGAAGCUUGCUUCUCUGAUGUUAGCGGCGGACGGGUGAGUAACACGUGGAUAACCUACCUAUAAGACUGGGAUAACUUCGGGAAACCGGAGCUAAUACCGGAUAAUAUUUUGAACCGCAUGGUUCAAAAGUGAAAGACGGUCUUGCUGUCACUUAUAGAUGGAUCCGCGCUGCAUUAGCUAGUUGGUAAGGUAACGGCUUACCAAGGCAACGAUGCAUAGCCGACCUGAGAGGGUGAUCGGCCACACUGGAACUGAGACACGGUCCAGACUCCUACGGGAGGCAGCAGUAGGGAAUCUUCCGCAAUGGGCGAAAGCCUGACGGAGCAACGCCGCGUGAGUGAUGAAGGUCUUCGGAUCGUAAAACUCUGUUAUUAGGGAAGAACAUAUGUGUAAGUAACUGUGCACAUCUUGACGGUACCUAAUCAGAAAGCCACGGCUAACUACGUGCCAGCAGCCGCGGUAAUACGUAGGUGGCAAGCGUUAUCCGGAAUUAUUGGGCGUAAAGCGCGCGUAGGCGGUUUUUUAAGUCUGAUGUGAAAGCCCACGGCUCAACCGUGGAGGGUCAUUGGAAACUGGAAAACUUGAGUGCAGAAGAGGAAAGUGGAAUUCCAUGUGUAGCGGUGAAAUGCGCAGAGAUAUGGAGGAACACCAGUGGCGAAGGCGACUUUCUGGUCUGUAACUGACGCUGAUGUGCGAAAGCGUGGGGAUCAAACAGGAUUAGAUACCCUGGUAGUCCACGCCGUAAACGAUGAGUGCUAAGUGUUAGGGGGUUUC